This 287-nucleotide ribosomal RNA is filed under the name uncultured fungus. RNAcentral describes it as "partial 28S ribosomal RNA". The stretch from base 114 to 287 matches the Rfam family "Eukaryotic large subunit ribosomal RNA", at positions 1 to 168 of the family's 3401-position model. Lineage: Eukaryota; Fungi. The record is from RNAcentral.
GGCUUUCGGUGUGAUAAUGAUCACCGUAUGCUGAAGUGCAUAACUGUAAAGUUCCGUGCCUCUAAUAUUGUCGAUCCUAUCCUUAUAGGAUGGAUCUUCCUUAUAUGACAUUUUGACCUCAAAUCAGGUAGGACUACCCGCUGAACUUAAGCAUAUCAAUAAGCGGAGGAAAAGAAACUAACAAGGAUUCCCCUAGUAACUGCGAGUGAACCGGGAAAAGCUCAUAAUUUUGAAUACUGGCAGUCCUUUGAGGUUGUCCGAAUUGUAUUUAGAGAAGUGUUUUUCCG